RNAcentral lists this ribosomal RNA (263 nucleotides) under Vibrio parahaemolyticus. RNAcentral describes it as "partial 23S ribosomal RNA". It matches the Rfam family "Bacterial large subunit ribosomal RNA", at positions 1082 to 1347 of the family's 2925-position model. Lineage: Bacteria; Pseudomonadati; Pseudomonadota; Gammaproteobacteria; Vibrionales; Vibrionaceae. The record is from RNAcentral.
GGCUCAGACAGCCAGGAUGUUGGCUUAGAAGCAGCCAUCAUUAAAGAAAGCGUAAUAGCUCACUGGUCGAGUCGGCCUGCGCGGAAGAUGUAACGGGGCUAAGUAGUAAACCGAAGCUGCGGCAAUACUCUUUGAGUAUUGGGUAGGGGAGCGUUCUGUAAGCGGUUGAAGGUGUGUGGUAACGCAUGCUGGACGUAUCAGAAGUGCGAAUGCUGACAUGAGUAACGAUAAAGGGGGUGAAAAACCUCCUCGCCGGAAGACCA